GCUCUGGUAGCCCAACUGGCAGAGGCGGUCGGCUCAAACCCGGCUUGUUGUGGGUUCGAAUCCCACCCAGAGCACCA
Molecule: transfer RNA, 77 nt
Filed under: Bifidobacteriaceae bacterium
Lineage: Bacteria; Bacillati; Actinomycetota; Actinomycetes; Bifidobacteriales; Bifidobacteriaceae
Description: tRNA-Leu
Rfam family: tRNA
About the family: Transfer RNA (tRNA) molecules are approximately 80 nucleotides in length. Their secondary structure includes four short double-helical elements and three loops (D, anti-codon, and T loops). Further hydrogen bonds mediate the characteristic L-shaped molecular structure. tRNAs have two regions of fundamental functional importance: the anti-codon, which is responsible for specific mRNA codon recognition, and the 3' end, to which the tRNAs corresponding amino acid is attached (by aminoacyl-tRNA synthetases). tRNAs cope with the degeneracy of the genetic code in two manners: having more than one tRNA (with a specific anti-codon) for a particular amino acid; and 'wobble' base-pairing, i.e. permitting non-standard base-pairing at the 3rd anti-codon position.
Source: RNAcentral